RNAcentral lists this transfer RNA (77 nucleotides) under Blattabacterium punctulatus. RNAcentral's name for it is "tRNA-Gly". It matches the Rfam family "tRNA". Rfam says of the family: Transfer RNA (tRNA) molecules are approximately 80 nucleotides in length. Lineage: Bacteria; Pseudomonadati; Bacteroidota; Flavobacteriia; Flavobacteriales; Blattabacteriaceae. The record is from RNAcentral.
GCGGAAGUAGCUCAGUUGGUUAGAGCAUCAUCCUUCCAAGUUGAAUGUCGCGGGUUCGAAUCCCGUCUUCCGCUUCA